Molecule: ribosomal RNA, 466 nt
Filed under: uncultured bacterium
Lineage: Bacteria
Description: partial 16S ribosomal RNA
Rfam family: Bacterial small subunit ribosomal RNA
Source: RNAcentral
GACGAACGCUGGCGGCGUGCUUAACACAUGCAAGUCGAACGGAAAGGCCCUGCUUGCAGGGUCCUCGAGUGGCGAACGGGUGAGUAACACGUGGGUGAUCUGCCCUGCACUUCGGGAUAAGCCUGGGAAACUGGGUCUAAUACCGGAUAGGAGCCAUUUUUAGUGUGAUGGUUGGAAAGUUUUUUUCGGUGUAGGAUGAGCUCGCGGCCUAUCAGCUUGUUGGUGGGGUAAUGGCCUACCAAGGCGGCGACGGGUAGCCGGCCUGAGAGGGUGGACGGCCACAAUGGGACUGAGAUACGGCCCAGACUCCUACGGGAGGCAGCAGUGGGGAAUAUUGCACAAUGGGCGCAAGCCUGAUGCAGCGACGCCGCGUGGGGGAUGACGGCCUUCGGGUUGCAAACUACUUUCGCUAGGGACGAAGCUUUUUGUGACGGUACCUAGAUAAGAAGCACCGGCUAACUACGUG